Molecule: long non-coding RNA, 1577 nt
Filed under: Salmo salar (Atlantic salmon)
Lineage: Eukaryota; Metazoa; Chordata; Actinopteri; Salmoniformes; Salmonidae
Description: lncRNA (ENSSSAG00000083832.1, ENSSSAG00000116086.1)
Source: RNAcentral
GUAGGUAGCCUAGUGGUUAGAGUGUAGGGGAGGCAGGUAGCCUAGUGGUUAGAGUGUAGAGGAGGCAGGUAGCCUAGUGGUUAGAGUGUAGAGGAGGCAGGUAACCUAGUGGUUAGAGUGUAGAGGCGGCAGGUAGCCUAGUGGUUAGAGUGUAGGGGAGGCAGGUAGCCUAGUGGUUAGAGUGUAGAGGCGGCAGGUAGCCUAGUGGUUAGAGUGUGGUGGUGGCAGGUAGCCUAGUGGUUAGAGUGUAGAGGAGGCAGGUAGCCUAGUGGUUAGAGUGUAGAGGAGGCAGGUAGCCUAGUGGUUAGAGUGUAGGGGAGGCAGGUAGCCUAGUGGUUAGAGUGUAGAGGCGGCAGGUAGCCUAGUGGUUAGAGUGUAGUGGUGGCAGGUAGCCUAGUGGUUAGAGAGUAGAGGUGGCAGGUAGCCUAGUGGUUAGAGUGUAGAGGUGGCAGGUAGCCUAGUGGUUAGAGUGUAGAGGUGGCAGGUAGCCUAGUGGUUAGAGUGUAGAGGUGGCAGGUAGACUAGUGGUUAGAGUGUAGAGGAGGCAGGUAGCCUAGUGGUUAGAGUGUAGGGGAGGCAGGUAGCCUAGUGGUUAGAGUGUAGAGGAGGCAGGUAGCCUAGUGGUUAGAGUGUAGAGGAGACAGGUAGCCUAGUGGUUAGAGUGUAGAGGAGGCAGGUAGCCUAGUGGUUAGAGUGUAGAGGAGGCAGGUAGCCUAGUGGUUAGAGUGUAGGGGCGGCAGGUAGCCUAGCGGUUAGAGUGUAGGGGCGGCAGGUAGCCUAGUGGUUAGAGGUAGUAGAGGUACUAGAGGUACAGGAGGAAGUAGAGGUACUACAGGAGGAUGUAGAGGUACUACAGGAGGUACUACAGGGGGUAGUAGAGGUACUACAGGAGGUACUACAGGGGGUAGUAGAGGUACUACAGGAGGAAGUAGAGGUACUACAGGGGGUAGUAGAGGUACUACAGGAGGUACUAGAGGAGGAAGUAGAGGUACUAGAGGAGGAAGUAGAGGUACUACAGGGGGUAGUAGAGGUACUACAGGAGGUACUAGAGGAGGAAGUAGAGGUACUAGAGGAGGAAGUAGAGGUACUAGAGGAGGAAGUAGAGGUACUAGAGGAGGAAGUAGAGGUACUAGAGGAGGUACUAGAGGAGGAAGUAGAGGUACUACAGGAGGUACUAGAGGAGGAGGUAGAGGUACUACAGGAGGUAGUAGAGGUACUAGAGGAGGUAGUAGAGGUACUACAGGAGGUAGUAGAGGUACUAGAGGAGGUACUACAGGAGGUACUAGAGGAGGAAGUAGAGGUACUAGAGGAGGAGGUAGAGGUACUAGAGGAGGUAGUAGAGGUACUAGAGGAGGUAGUAGAGGUACUAGAGGAGGAAGUAGAGGUACUAGAGGAGGAAGUAGAGGUACUAGAGAGACUAGAGAAGAAAUAAGAGCUGAGACCAUUUUCUUCUAGUUGACCUAUGAUCACCUGGGUUACACCAAGAAAACCAUGACAAACCAUUUACCAUGGUCAAGAUAAGGUCUGGGUUGGGUUUAAGAUUUUGGUAAGGGACAAUUAGAUAUAUUAUAACAAAA